CAUGCAAGUCGAACGGAGAAUCAGCAAUGGUUCUUAGUGGCGAACGGGUGAGUAACGCGUAGACAACCUGCCUCAAAGAUGGGGACAACACCGCGAAAGUGGUGCUAAUACCGAAUGUUGCAUUGGAUUCGCAUGAAUCUGAUACUAAAGGUGGCCUCUUUAAAUGCUACCGCUUUGAGAUGGGUCUGCGUCUGAUUAGCUAGUUGGUGAGGUAACAGCUCACCAAGGCGAUGAUCAGUAGCCGGUCUGAGAGGAUGAACGGCCACACUGGGACUGAGACACGGCCCAGACUCCUACGGGAGGCAGCAGUGGGGAAUCUUCCGCAAUGGACGAAAGUCUGACGGAGCAACGCCGCGUGAGUGAAGAAGGUUUUCGGAUCGUAAAGCUCUGUCUUUGAGGACGAAUGUGCUUAAUGUAAAUAAUGUUAAGUAAUGACGGUACUCGAGGAGGAAGCCACGGCUAACUACGUGCCAGCAGCCGCGGUAAUACGUAGGUGGCAAGCGUUGUCCGGAAUUAUUGGGCGUAAAGCGCGCGCAGGCGGGAUAUUAAGUCUGUCUUAAAAGUUCGGGGCUCAACCCCGUGAUGGGAUGGAAACUAAUAUUCUUGAGUGCAGGAGAGGAAAGUGGAAUUCCCAGUGUAGCGGUGAAAUGCGUAGAUAUUGGGAGGAACACCAGUGGCGAAGGCGACUUUCUGGACUGUGUCUGACGCUGAGGCGCGAAAAGCCAGCGGAGUGAACGGGAUUAGAUACCCCGGUAAUCCUGGCCGUAACGAUGGGUACUAGGUGUAGGAGGUAUCGACCCCCUUCUGUGCCGGAGUUAACGCAAUAAGUACCCCGCCUGGGGAGUACGGCCGCAAGGUUGAAACUCA
RNAcentral lists this ribosomal RNA (867 nucleotides) under bacterium enrichment culture clone aHCH2_H2. Its description in RNAcentral is "bacterial SSU rRNA". It matches the Rfam family "Bacterial small subunit ribosomal RNA", at positions 54 to 903 of the family's 1533-position model. The record is from RNAcentral.